GCCUUGCCGGGUCACGCCGGCGGGGAUCACUGAACCGGCUCGGCGUCUUUCCAUAUCCUAACGGAUCGGGAAAGGCGCUCGCAUAGAU
Molecule: small RNA, 88 nt
Filed under: Sinorhizobium meliloti 2011
Lineage: Bacteria; Pseudomonadati; Pseudomonadota; Alphaproteobacteria; Hyphomicrobiales; Rhizobiaceae
Description: putative ncRNA
Source: RNAcentral